GAUGAACGCUGGCGGCGUCCCUAAUACAUGCAAGUCGAGCGAACGGACGAGAAGCUUGCUUCUCUGAUGUUAGCGGCGGACGGGUGAGUAACACGUGGAUAACCUACCUAUAAGACUGGGAUAACUUCGGGAAACCGUAGCUAAUACCGGAUAAUAUUUUGAACCGCAUGGUUCAAAAGUGAAAGACGGUCUUGCUGUCACUUAUAGAUGGAUCCGCGCUGCAUUAGCUAGUUGGUAAGGUAACGGCUUACCAAGGCAACGAUGCAUAGCCGACCUGAGAGGGUGAUCGGCCACACUGGAACUGAGACACGGUCCAGACUCCUACGGGAGGCAGCAGUAGGGAAUCUUCCGCAAUGGGCGAAAGCCUGACGGAGCAACGCCGCGUGAGUGAUGAAGGUCUUCGGAUCGUAAAACUCUGUUAUUAGGGAAGAACAUAUGUGUAAGUAACUGUGCACAUCUUGACGGUACCUAAUCAGAAAGCCACGGCUAACUACGUG
This 497-nucleotide ribosomal RNA is filed under the name uncultured bacterium. Its description in RNAcentral is "partial 16S ribosomal RNA". It matches the Rfam family "Bacterial small subunit ribosomal RNA", at positions 28 to 507 of the family's 1533-position model. The record is from RNAcentral.